AUUGAACGCUGGCGGCAGGCCUAACACAUGCAAGUCGAGCGGAUGAAGGGAGCUUGCUCCUGGAUUCAGCGGCGGACGGGUGAGUAAUGCCUAGGAAUCUGCCUGGUAGUGGGGGAUAACGUCCGGAAACGGGCGCUAAUACCGCAUACGUCCUGAGGGAGAAAGUGGGGGAUCUUCGGACCUCACGCUAUCAGAUGAGCCUAGGUCGGAUUAGCUAGUUGGUGGGGUAAAGGCCUACCAAGGCGACGAUCCGUAACUGGUCUGAGAGGAUGAUCAGUCACACUUGAACUGAGACACGGUCCAGACUCCUACGGGAGGCAGCAGUGGGGAAUAUUGGACAAUGGGCGAAAGCCUGAUCCAGCCAUGCCGCGUGUGUGAAGAAGGUCUUCGGAUUGUAAAGCACUUUAAGUUGGGAGGAAGGGCAGUAAGUUAAGACCUUGCUGUUUUGACGUUACCAACAGAAUAAGCACCGGCUAACUUCGU
This 483-nucleotide ribosomal RNA is filed under the name uncultured bacterium. RNAcentral describes it as "partial 16S ribosomal RNA". It matches the Rfam family "Bacterial small subunit ribosomal RNA", at positions 30 to 506 of the family's 1533-position model. The record is from RNAcentral.